AGAGUUGAUCCUGGCUUAGAUUGAACGCUGGCGGCAUGCCUUACACAUGCAAGUCGAACGGUAACAGGUCUUCGGAUGCUGACGAGUGGCGAACGGGUGAGUAAUACAUCGGAACGUGCCCGAUCGUGGGGGAUAACGAGGCGAAAGCUUUGCUAAUACCGCAUACGAUCUACGGAUGAAAGCGGGGGAUCUUCGGACCUCGCGCGGACGGAGCGGCCGAUGGCAGAUUAGGUAGUUGGCGGGAUAAAGCUUACCAAGCCGACGAUCUGUAGCUGGUCUGAGAGGAUGAUCAGCCACACUGGGACUGAGACACGGCCCAGACUCCUACGGGAGGCAGCAGUGGGGAAUUUUGGACAAUGGGCGAAAGCCUGAUCCAGCCAUGCCGCGUGCAGGAUGAAGGCCUUCGGGUUGUAAACUGCUUUUGUACGGAACGAAAAGCCUCUUUCUAAUAAAGAGGGGUCAUGACGGUACCGUAAGAAUAAGCACCGGCUAACUACGUGCCAGCCGCCGC
RNAcentral lists this ribosomal RNA (511 nucleotides) under uncultured bacterium. RNAcentral describes it as "bacterial SSU rRNA". It matches the Rfam family "Bacterial small subunit ribosomal RNA", at positions 8 to 518 of the family's 1533-position model. The record is from RNAcentral.